UACGUAGGGUGAGAGCGUUAAUCGGAAUUACUGGGCGUAAAGAGUGCGUAGGCGGUUCUUGAAGUCCGCUGUGAAAGCCCCGGGCUUAACCUGGGAAUGGCAGUGGAAACUGGGGGACUUGAAUUGAGCAGAGGGGGGUGGAAUGCCGCGUGUAGCAGUGAAAUGCGUAGAGAUGCGGCGGAACACCGAUGGCGAAGGCAGCCCCCUGGGCUUAAAUUGACGCUGAGGCACGAAAGCGUGGGGAGCAAACAGG
Molecule: ribosomal RNA, 253 nt
Filed under: uncultured bacterium
Lineage: Bacteria
Description: partial 16S ribosomal RNA
Rfam family: Bacterial small subunit ribosomal RNA
Source: RNAcentral